Molecule: transfer RNA, 70 nt
Filed under: Dipodomys ordii (Ord's kangaroo rat)
Lineage: Eukaryota; Metazoa; Chordata; Mammalia; Rodentia; Heteromyidae
Rfam family: tRNA
About the family: Transfer RNA (tRNA) molecules are approximately 80 nucleotides in length. Their secondary structure includes four short double-helical elements and three loops (D, anti-codon, and T loops).
Source: Rfam by way of RNAcentral
GGGAAAGUAGCUCAGUGGUAGAGUGCUUGCCUUGCAUGCAUGAAGCCCUGGGUUCAAUUCCUCAGCACCA